UACGUAGGUGGCAAGCGUUGUCCGGAUUUAUUGGGUUUAAAGGGUGCGUAGGCGGUCUAUUAAGUCAGUGCUGAAAUAUCCCAGCUUAACCGGGAGGGUGGCAUUGAUACUGAUGGACUUGAGUAAAGUUGAGGUUGGCGGAAUUGACGGUGUAGCGGUGAAAUGCUUAGAUAUCGUCAAGAACACCUAUUGCGAAGGCAGCUAACUAAGCUUAAACUGACGCUGAGGCACGAAAGUGUGGGGAUCAAACAGG
RNAcentral lists this ribosomal RNA (253 nucleotides) under uncultured bacterium. Its description in RNAcentral is "partial 16S ribosomal RNA". It matches the Rfam family "Bacterial small subunit ribosomal RNA", at positions 524 to 776 of the family's 1533-position model. The record is from RNAcentral.